This 1792-nucleotide unclassified non-coding RNA is filed under the name Camponotus floridanus (Florida carpenter ant). RNAcentral's name for it is "cytochrome P450 6k1, transcript variant X1". Lineage: Eukaryota; Metazoa; Arthropoda; Insecta; Hymenoptera; Formicidae. The record is from RNAcentral.
UGAAGCGAUUCACACGUAGAAACUUUACCGAUUUUUACAUAUUGAACAGUGAAUUCCAUAUCUUAUAUAUUAUUAAAAAUCUUAUAAUUGAAACAGAAUUUUAUGCAGAAAUAGAAUGCACGAUAUUUUAUAAUUUAAACAAAGUUUCACACGAAUAAAUUUCUAAAGAGAUUUGCGCAAAAUGGCAAUGUUGACUGACUGCAUUUUCUUGGACACGCUUUUAAUAUUUUUCUCACUUUUUGCAACGCUUUUCCUAUGGUUAAAGUGGAAACACUCUUAUUGGCAAAGACGUGGCGUACGCACGUUACCCGCACAUUGGUUUUUCGGUCACUUCAAGGAUGCAAUGCUUAUGCGCAAACCAGCGGGAGUGGUCUUCGGCGAGCUGCAUCGGCAAGCUGCGGAUGAAGAUGACGUAAUCGGAAUUUACAUCUUACACGAACCAUUCCUACUUGUGAGGAAUCCAGAACUGAUCAAACAAAUCAUGAUUAGGGACUUUCAUGUAUUCCCAAAUCAUCAUUUCGACGGUAGAAGCAAAUCCGAUACUCUUGGCAAUUGGAGCCUCUUUACUAUCAAGAAUCCUGAAUGGAAGCAAUUGCGGACAAAAAUGUCGCCAGUGUUUACGAGUGGCAAGUUAAAGAGUCUCUUCUUGCUUAUGCAAGAAUCCGGAGAGAUGAUGAGAGAAUAUCUGCAAGGUCAGUUCGUCGACUCCAAUAUCGCAUCGAUACCUAUCAAGGACAUAUUCUACAAGUAUACCACUAUUGUGAUAGCUUCCAUGGCAUUUGGAAUUCGAGCAAAUUGUUUCGACACACCGCCACCAGAAUUUUUCAUAAACUCACGUAAAGCAUUUCAACCGACUCUUUCGAGAACCUUGCGAUUCUUUUUUAUGUUCUUCUUACCGAAAAUUGGAAAAUAUCUGGGUCUUAAAAUGCUGGGUGACUACACGGAUUACUUCCGCAAAGUGUUUUGGGACUCUAUGGACAAUAGAAGCAUCACGAAGACGAAACGGGGAGAUCUGAUCGAUUCUCUUUUGCAAUUGAAAAAUGAAAAUGCAGAUGAUACUCAUUUCCGAUUCGAAGGGGAUAUCCUUCUUGCUCAAGCGGCAAUCUUCUUUGUGGCCGGUCGUGAGACUAGUAUUACCACUAUGACCUAUGCUCUCUGCGAGUUGGCCAAAUAUUCGGAAAUGCAGAGACGCGCGAGAGAGGAGAUCCUCGAGAAGAUUCAGACCGCGAACGGCGUCACAUAUGAAGCGGUUAAUAACAUGAAAUAUCUACAUCAAGUGAUAAACGAAACGUUAAGACUCUAUCCAUCUGCGCCAAUUCUGGAUAGGACUCCCAUAGAAGAUUAUACGUUACCUAAUACAAACAUAACUAUUGAGAAAGGGACACCGAUAUAUGUCGCAUUAUACGGAAUUCAGAGAGACCUCAGAUUCUAUGAGGAUCCUAAGCGUUUCGAUCCUGAACGAUUCAGCGACGAGAGAAAAAACGAGAUUGUACCUUGCACCUUUCUACCUUUCGGCGAGGGCCCGCGAAAUUGUAUAGGUUGGUGCAUCAUAGACUACAGAUGGAUUUAAAAUGUGUUUGGAAUAUAGAAUUUACUGGAGUGAAUCUUCUUCGACAUUUAUCAGGCGAUCUAUUCGUUCAUUUAUUAUUUCUACAAAACACAAAUGUAUGCGACUGGGAAUUUUGCAAACCGCCGUGGGAUUGAUAGCGAUUCUACGUGAUUACGAGGUUUCGUUGAAUCCUUCGUGGAUGUCCAUAGUGGAUACGCGAAAUGUGUUCACUACGCCGCCCGC